RNAcentral lists this long non-coding RNA (645 nucleotides) under Elaeis guineensis (African oil palm). RNAcentral's name for it is "long non-coding RNA (EGUI_LNC014514)". The record is from RNAcentral. Lineage: Eukaryota; Viridiplantae; Streptophyta; Magnoliopsida; Arecales; Arecaceae.
AUUAGACUUAAUGAACAUUUGAUCCAAACCUAUCUAGAUUAGGUUUGACCUAAUCUUUAGGCAUGUUUGAUUUGAAUUAGAUCUUAGUCAAAUUAAAUCAAAUUUAAUUUGAUUGGAUCUGAUUUUAAUUUUAUUGGGAUUAGGAUUCAUUAAUCUGAUGGGAUUGGACUUAAUCUAAAUUGGAUUCCAACCAACACUUGGAUUUGAACUAGACCUUAACCAAAUAGAACAAGGACAUCUAGCUCUCUAAAUCCCCACACCCCAAGGCCUUACAUGCCUAAGGUUUUUCACAUGGAAAGGGUUUUCACAUUGAGAGUGGGUGUGGAAAAUUUUAGGGGAGCAAGGGUGUUGGGCGGCUACAUGGAUAGAGUCCUACUCUAUCUCUAAAGCUCCCCAACAACCCUAGUUUGAGAUUUAAAUAGAGGACAAAAGGUGGGGUGCCUCUUGGUAAAGAUGAGAUCUAAUUUUGGAUGCCCCACACAAGGAGAUUGGCGUGGAGAUCUAGGGAGGAUGCCCAACGCUUAUGGGCAUUGGAUAUGUGGAGUUUUUCUACAUGAAAAAAAGGUGAGGCGCCCCCUCUCUUCCUCAACCUUUUUUUCUUACAAUAGUUGUUAGAAAACUUCCUCCCUCUCUCCUUUGUUCAAG